Molecule: long non-coding RNA, 1364 nt
Filed under: Theobroma cacao (cacao)
Lineage: Eukaryota; Viridiplantae; Streptophyta; Magnoliopsida; Malvales; Malvaceae
Description: long non-coding RNA (TCAC_LNC000324)
Source: RNAcentral
UUGCUGCAGUGGGCAGGUUCUAUGGACCAGUCUUUUUGAGAGGCACGGAAUCCUGUUAUAUUCUUACCUCGAUUGGGGAGGCGCGUAAGGUAACUUCCAAGGUACAACUUUAGAGUUCACUUCACGUCAAACCACCACUUAAGGGUGAACUCAGCCAACGCCAAGGAACGACUAUGUUUUCAAAAUAAAAACAUGAUUUAUGCGUACAUGACUUUUUAACAGCCUUGACGGACUCGGUUGGGAUAACCCUAGGCCAAGGUAUCCCUGAUAACUAAGUAUGAGAAUGAUUUUGGCACAAGCCAAACUUUUCAAAAAACAAUAAGCCUCGUUGUUUAUUUGGGUGAAAUGAACCUAUUUUAUCUUAUUAAAAUGAGUUUGAAAUGCUGUGAAUCAUUUUUAUGUUAAACUAUUUUAUCUGUCUCCAUUUACUCAGUUUUAGAUAUUUUAGAUGGUAUUUGUUUACUCACUAGGAUUAUAUAAUCUCACUACCCUCCUUUUCACCCAUUUCAAGCUCAAGAUAGUUAGUAGAUAGCUCAUUUCGUUGUGGGCUACAAUUGGACUUGCAUCCUCAAAAACUGUAGGUUUACCGUUUUUGAUACUUUUGGUCGUUCGUGAGCCCACAUGUCACUAUAAAUUAAAUCUUAUGCUUUGGUUAUCUGUAUUACAGUACAUAUGAAUUUAUUUAGCUUUUACGCUACAAAAAUUAUUAACCGGUAACUCUAUAAAUAUUGUUUUAUAAGAAAAUAGAAUAUUUUAUUGAAUAUUUUUCUUAUAUUCAAAUAGGUAUAGUUUCACUUUAAAUGAAUGUUUUAGACAUCUAAACUUAUUUUUUAUUAUGAAAUAUGUGUUUUCCACUCGCAUACUACAUUUUCAACUGGUUUUGAGAUUUUCAAGGAAAAAUGACCAAAAUGCCCCUGUGAGAAAAAAAUUAUUUUCUAUUGUUUUGAUUUGGAAAUAGUUUAUAAUCUCUCAAAACAUGAUACUUAACAACUGUUGCUCACAGGGGAGGUGCGAAAACUUAUAUUAAAGCCUUGCGAGGUUCCGAUUGGCAUUUCGGGCAAUGAAUGUCUAUCGGGACGUCGCGACGGUUGUCACGGGUUCGAAGGGAGUACCGGUGUAAUACCCUGCACCCUCAUUGGAUACAAAUAAGACCUUAUUGGUAAAACGAAUGAUCGUUUGAUGUGAAUUUGCGUGCCAAAAAGCGGCAAAAGAUGAAAGGAGCGUUCUAGAAUAAAAUGCUUCGCGCGUGCAGAAACAAUAAUUAAAUAAUAAUAUUUUCGUUGAAGAGGAAUUAGUAAGCUAAAGGAUUAUUCGAAAGUAAAUCGAGAUGUAAUGAUGUGUUUCGGGACCAAAGAAGGCAAGUG